This 490-nucleotide ribosomal RNA is filed under the name Vibrio hangzhouensis. Its description in RNAcentral is "bacterial SSU rRNA". It matches the Rfam family "Bacterial small subunit ribosomal RNA", at positions 65 to 540 of the family's 1533-position model. Lineage: Bacteria; Pseudomonadati; Pseudomonadota; Gammaproteobacteria; Vibrionales; Vibrionaceae. The record is from RNAcentral.
AACGAGUUAACUGACCCUUCGGGUGACGUUAACGGCGUCGAGCGGCGGACGGGUGAGUAAUGCCUGGGAAUAUGCCUUGAUGUGGGGGAUAACCAUUGGAAACGAUGGCUAAUACCGCAUAAUCUCUACGGAGCAAAGAGGGGGACCUUCGGGCCUCUCGCGUCAAGAUUAGCCCAGGUGGGAUUAGCUAGUUGGUGAGGUAAAGGCUCACCAAGGCGACGAUCCCUAGCUGGUCUGAGAGGAUGAUCAGCCACACUGGAACUGAGACACGGUCCAGACUCCUACGGGAGGCAGCAGUGGGGAAUAUUGCACAAUGGGCGCAAGCCUGAUGCAGCCAUGCCGCGUGUGUGAAGAAGGCCUUCGGGUUGUAAAGCACUUUCAGUCGUGAGGAAGGUGGUGUAGUUAAUAGCUGCAUUAUUUGACGUUAGCGACAGAAGAAGCACCGGCUAACUCCGUGCCAGCAGCCGCGGUAAUACGGAGGGUGCGAGCG